Molecule: non-coding RNA, 1107 nt
Organism: Biomphalaria pfeifferi
Lineage: Eukaryota; Metazoa; Mollusca; Gastropoda; Planorbidae
Source: the annotation of a GenBank genome assembly
AUUUGGAAUAAUAUAUACUUGUGUUUUAUUUACAACAAGAUCCUUUCAUAGCUUGAACUCUAGUAAUACAUCUAUGAAAUAAUAAACAAUAGGUUUAAAAAAAGUCUUUUAAAGAACAAAGUUAUAUGACAAAUCAGAAAUACCAGUAUGUAGAUGUUAUGUAUGGUUUUUCAUAACUUGUAAUGAUUUACCUAUUUAUGGCUAACAGAAUUGAUACAAGUCUAGCUACAAGUGCAAAAUAGAUGCUUCUAGGUUAAAAAUAAAUAAAAAAGAAUAUUAAUUUAAUACAAGAGAAAAAAAAAUCUUAGGAGUAAGGUGGGUUGGUCCUCCAGAGGUUUAAUUUACAUUUUUUAAAACAUCUUUUGUUAAUGUUGCAAUGUAUCUCCUUGACAUAUCUAUGUCACUCUUCAGCUUCUUGAAACUAAUUUGUGUGGUUGUGAAUUUUAUGUUCAGUUGCUAAGUCACAGGUGAAUGUUACAUAAGUCAGUGCAGUAGGAAACCAAACAGUUAAAAAAAAAAAACGAAGGUCAUACACUUUGUCAAUGACUACUAGACACAAGGUGCAAUAGAGGAUAAAACAGGUCAGAGUCUAUAGAGGCAAAGUUGUAUUUGUUGAACUGGGUCUUGUAGAACAUACACGCAGACACACUUUUAACCUUUAUCUUAGUACCAGUAAAACAACUUCAAGCAAAGUGCUUUGCACGCUGGGGUCAAAUCUAGAUAGGGUACUCCUAGCCCAAAGUGACACACAGAAGUCUAAUCUGAAAAGGUUCCCACCAACCCAAAGUGCAUUACACACAGCCUUUCUAGCCUUUAACAAAAAAACAGUGGCCUUUGAAUAUAAAGUUACCAUGCCUGUAAAGUGCAAUAACUCUUUUUAGGGAACAUCCCAAUGCUGAUUGUUAUGCAAGGUCAAUGAAAGUUUAAAGAGUUAAAGGGAAGAUAGCAAAUAGUCUCAUAUGGGGGUUCCUUUAAAAAAGAUAAUUAUUAUGAUCAAGAGAAGAUGAACGCUUUUGGGCUUUGCUAAUAAUUAGCAUAGAUUUGAUAGGGCUAUCUGUUAUGUCAUUUUGUCAAGCCUAUUUUCAUUUUUAAACAUAUUAACUAAGA